AUAAUUCAAAAAAAACCCCGUCUAAUGCUUAAACACCGUAUUAUACUAUUUUAUGCAAGCUUUAGACGGUGUUGUUUUGAACACCGUCUUAUAAAUAUCAUAAUGUAUCGAAGAAACCCUAAAAUAUACUCAGUAGAGUCCCCCAAAACCAACAUGCCACCUGAGUUUAAACCACCACCACACCACCUGUGUCUUUUCUUCUAAAUUCUUACAACAAGUGCAUUACAUCUGAAAUUCGAUCCCUGGAUCCGAAGAAAUCGAAGCACGGACUUGCACCGAAGAAGAUCAAAUUGAAAACGCAGUAGCUGUAGCAGUGAAUUUUGUUUUGGGAUAAAACACCCUCCGCUUCCUGCUCAAAACGCAGGUUCGUUUUUUGAUCCAGUGGUAACGAGAACAGAGGAAAAUCUCCGAUGACCACAACACCACAAUUGAUUUCUUGCCAUUUUCCAGCUCAAAACGCAGGAACCUCUACUAUCAUCUUAGAAAGUAUUUGGUGUAAAUGAGCCUUUUCUACCACUUCAAGGACCUUUACUUCUUAACUUAACUUGAGUUCAAGUUAUCCGACUAAGUUUGGAAAGCAUUUGACUAAGUAUCUGAUGAAGAAGCAGAUGAUGACACGUGUAUGACGUACAAUUAUUACAUUUUAUAUGUUAGGUAGUUUUAUGACGUGUUUGUGAAUUGUGACUUAAAACGAACCCGGAUUGUGACGUUUGUGACGUUUAUGCUUAUGUUUUUUUGAAAGGCAACCAUUUAUGCUUACGUU
Helianthus annuus (common sunflower) is the source of this 763-nucleotide long non-coding RNA. RefSeq lists it as uncharacterized. The record is from RefSeq and is a predicted model, not a curated record. NCBI's taxonomy places the organism in Eukaryota, Viridiplantae, Streptophyta, Magnoliopsida, Asterales, Asteraceae. The transcript has 3 exons.